Long non-coding RNA from Dromiciops gliroides (monito del monte), 228 nucleotides. RefSeq lists it as uncharacterized. NCBI's taxonomy places the organism in Eukaryota, Metazoa, Chordata, Mammalia, Microbiotheria, Microbiotheriidae. The transcript is spliced from 3 exons. The record is from RefSeq and is a predicted model, not a curated record.
UGGGGAAAGAGCCUCUUGGAGAAGUUGAACCAACAGAAGUCAUACUGUCUUGGAGAUCUGGAAUGUGUGAGUCGACUGGUCAGUGUAGAACCAAGGAAUGUGCCCUUGCAUGGAAAGUUCCCUCUCCCUGGCUAUUUUCAUACACUUUCCCAGUUCUAACAUCUCAAAGGAAUGUCUGACAUCAUCUCUGGGCCAUUGCCAGUCAUCUUGACUAAUGUCUUGCCACUG